GAUGAACGCUGGCGGCGUGCCUAAUACAUGCAAGUCGAGCGAACAGAUGAGGAGCUUGCUCCUCUGACGUUAGCGGCGGACGGGUGAGUAACACGUGGAUAACCUACCUAUAAGACUGGGAUAACUUCGGGAAACCGGAGCUAAUACCGGAUAAUAUAUUGAACCGCAUGGUUCAAUAGUGAAAGACGGUUUUGCUGUCACUUAUAGAUGGAUCCGCGCCGCAUUAGCUAGUUGGUAAGGUAACGGCUUACCAAGGCAACGAUGCGUAGCCGACCUGAGAGGGUGACCGGCCAAACUGGAACUGAGAAACGGUCCAGACUCCUACGGGAGGCAGCAGUAGGGAAUCUUCCGCAUGGGCGAAAGCCUGACGGAGCAACGCCGCGUGAGUGAUGAAGGUCUUCGGAUCGUAAAACUCUGUUAUUAGGGAAGAACAAAUGUGUAAGUAACUAUGCACGUCUUGACGGUACCUAAUCAGAAAGCCACGGCUAACUACGUG
This 496-nucleotide ribosomal RNA is filed under the name uncultured bacterium. RNAcentral describes it as "partial 16S ribosomal RNA". It matches the Rfam family "Bacterial small subunit ribosomal RNA", at positions 28 to 507 of the family's 1533-position model. The record is from RNAcentral.